GACGAACGCUGGCGGCGUGCUUAACACAUGCAAGUCGAGCGGUAAGGCCCUUUCGGGGGUACACGAGCGGCGAACGGGUGAGUAACACGUGGGUGACCUGCCUCUAGCUCUGGGAUAAGCCUGGGAAGCUGGGUCUAAUACCGGAUAUGACCUCGCGGUGCAUGUUGCGGGGUGGAAAGCCUUGUGCGGCUAGGGAUGGGCCCGCGGCCUAUCAGCUUGUUGGUGGGGUGAUGGCCUACCAAGGCGACGACGGGUAGCCGGCCUGAGAGGGCGACCGGCCACACUGGGACUGAGACACGGCCCAGACUCCUACGGGAGGGCAGCAGUGGGGAAUCUUGCGCAAUGGGCGAAAGCCUGACGCAGCGACGCCGCGUGAGGGAUGACGGCCUCGG
RNAcentral lists this ribosomal RNA (392 nucleotides) under uncultured bacterium. Its description in RNAcentral is "bacterial SSU rRNA". It matches the Rfam family "Bacterial small subunit ribosomal RNA", at positions 28 to 420 of the family's 1533-position model. The record is from RNAcentral.